This 399-nucleotide ribosomal RNA is filed under the name Chrysochromulina parva. RNAcentral describes it as "partial small subunit ribosomal RNA". It matches the Rfam family "Eukaryotic small subunit ribosomal RNA", at positions 30 to 432 of the family's 1831-position model. Lineage: Eukaryota; Haptophyta; Prymnesiales; Chrysochromulinaceae. The record is from RNAcentral.
GCUUGUCUCAAAGAUUAAGCCAUGCAUGUCUAAGUAUAAACGACUUUAUACAGUGAAACUGCGAAUGGCUCAUUAAAUCAGUUAUAGUUUAUUUGAUAAUACCUUACUACUUGGAUAACCGUGGUAAUUCUAGAGCUAAUACAUGCUACACAACCCGACUUCUGGAAGGGUGGUACUGAUUAGAUAAGAAACCUUCCCCUUUGGGUUGCGUGCCGAGUCACAAUAACUGCUCGAAUCGCAUGGCUUCACGCCGGCGAUGGUUCAUUCAAAUUUCUGCCCUAUCAGCUUUCGAUGGUAGGAUCGAGGCCUACCAUGGCGUUUACGGGUAACGGAGAAUUAGGGUUCGAUUCCGGAGAGGGAGCCUGAGAGAUGGCUACCACAUCCAAGGAAGGCAGCAGG